This 468-nucleotide ribosomal RNA is filed under the name uncultured bacterium. RNAcentral's name for it is "partial 16S ribosomal RNA". It matches the Rfam family "Bacterial small subunit ribosomal RNA", at positions 28 to 507 of the family's 1533-position model. The record is from RNAcentral.
GACGAACGCUGGCGGCGUGCUUAACACAUGCAAGUCGAACGGAAAGGCCCUGCUUUUGUGGGGUGCUCGAGUGGCGAACGGGUGAGUAACACGUGAGUAACCUGCCCUUGACUUUGGGAUAACUUCAGGAAACUGGGGCUAAUACCGGAUAGGAGCUCCUGCUGCAUGGUGGGGGUUGGAAAGUUUCGGCGGUUGGGGAUGGACUCGCGGCUUAUCAGCUUGUUGGUGGGGUUGUGGCUUACCAAGGCUUUGACGGGUAGCCGGCCUGAGAGGGUGACCGGCCACAUUGGGCCUGAGAUACGGACCAGACUCCUACGGGAGGCAGCAGUGGGAAAUAUUACACAAUGGGCGCGAGCCUGAUGCAGCAACGCCGCGUGCGGGAUGACGGCCUUCGGGUUGUAAACCGCUUUCGCCUGUAACGAGGCGUGAGUGACGGUAAUGGGUAAGGAAGCACCGGCUAACUACGUG